Capsicum annuum is the source of this 4249-nucleotide long non-coding RNA. RefSeq lists it as uncharacterized. The record is from RefSeq and is a predicted model, not a curated record. The transcript is spliced from 3 exons. Lineage: Eukaryota; Viridiplantae; Streptophyta; Magnoliopsida; Solanales; Solanaceae.
UUUAUUCCCUCCAUUUUCACGGGAAAUUUUAGUAAGUUUGACAAAACAAAAACAUUUUAAUAAAACUUGUUUCUCCGAGAAAUAUUUCAAUACCUAAAUCUCAAGCUUAAACCUACUCGUCCAAUUGCUAAACGCUAAAUCGCUAAACCACGAAAUUGCUACAUUUCAAUCAUGGCCUUGGAGAUCGAGAUCUGGUAGCAUUGAUUCCAACAUUUAGGUGUUCUUCGAUCUGGUAGCAUUGAUUCCAACAUUUAGGUGUUCUUCGACCUGGUAGCUAUAUUUCAAUCACUUCAUUUAUGUUGUUGUUCGAAGGAAUUUCUGUUGUUCAUUACCAGUAAGUUCUCACACAGCUUCUUUUUUUUCCCGCAAGCAUUUAUGUGUCAUUUGGUUAGCGUUAAAGAAAUACAGUGUUUGGUUGGUCACAUAAGAACAAAUAAUUAGCACGUACCAUCGAUUUACUGGUGUCAGGGAUAUUCGGUCCAACAUAUAUGCCAUUUGUAUCCUUGAAUCGGAUCUACUGUAUUGAGCUGUGGAUUUUGACCUAAUUUUUGGGUUUUGCUUCUGUUUAGGAUUUUUGCUUUAAUUCUUGCUAAAAAUGGAGUGAACUUCUUGCUUUUGAUAUUGAUUGAAAAUUAUUGGAAUUUUGGAAUUACCGUGGGGCGGGAUAUUAGUGAAAUAUUUUGGACUUUUUCAAAAAUAGUAAACUACUCAUGAAAUAGCUUAACUCAGAAAAUAUUGCUUUUAUUCUUAACGUGGUUGACCAUAAGAUGGCGAGCUAAUACAAACCUAUUUCAUGUUGCAAUAUGUUAUAUAUAAACGUACAAAAUGAUUAGGAAACAUUCUUUUUUCUGAAUUGAUUUCCGUGGCAUAUGUGAGCAACAUUGUGGUCUGUGUAACAAAUUUAGGUUGCUGAAGAGACUUGCAGUUCUUUGGUUCUAUGUCCAAUUCUUAUGUCCCUUUCUUCAACUCAGAAGUCUCGGACACUAACGAAACUGACCUACACUAUUUCUAUCUUCAAAAUAUUAAGCUUACAACACAACGCUCCAGAAAACUAGCACCAAGUGAUGACGAUUUAAACCCAAACAACUUAGUGCUCGGAAUGAAAUACUUCCUGAAUCCAACUGUGUACAUAAACUAUUCUUUUAAUUAAUGAUUUGACCUAAUUUAAGUUUUUAAAUUUAGAAGCUCAGUGUGUGUUUUAGCUUUUGUAAACUUGCAAUAGUUUACCAAUAUUUUAGCUUCUGUAAAUCCACAGUGGCCUACCUAUACUGUUCUGGCUAGGAUGAGUAGUCGUUUAAAAGUUUAAAAAUUGAGUCUUUAGGUAAUAUGAGUAGUUUGUUUUGUUCAUAAAUGUAGUUUAAAUUUUUGUAUUUUUCUACUGAUUCAAGUGUUAAGAUUUAGGGUGUAUUUGGUACAAAGAAAAAUGCUUUAGUUCUAAGAGAGGUUGUUCUAAGGUGCUCAAGCGUCAUAUCUUCUUCAUCGGGGGUAAGUUGGGCAAUCGACUAAAGCAGUUGCAUUGUAAAAUCUUGUAGAGGCUGGAGAGGAUGACGUGUUGGAUGACGACAGUGAAGAAGAAAGAUAGGUUAGUUAAUUCACCAAGUUGUGUGAUAGGAAUUAGCAUAAGCUACUUUUUUUCUUGUCUAUUUUUUUCCGGUGUUGCUACUUUUAUCGAACUUAGCUGGACGUCCUACUUAUCAUUCUAGGAAUUAGUCAAAACAGUUUUAUAAGCUGGCCAGUCAUAAAAUAUAUGAGCUAAUAUAAGUUAUAGAUUCUGUUGGAUGAUGUUGAUAAGCAUCAAGUAAUAGCUGUUAUGUUCUUCUGGAGGUUGAAAAAUGAAUUACAAAAUAGAUCUUACUUUCAGUGGAUUUGUGGAUAUGCACUAAUUAAAUAUUUUUAUUGUCUCCACGAGAUGUUGACAGUCACCCUUUGAACCUAUCACAAGGAUUUGCAUGUGACGUCAAUGGUGAAGGAGCUUUCCAUUUGGAUGCGAUUUUAUUGGAGAAAUCUCUAUUUUGCUUAUUAUUUUAUUUCUUGGGUUGAACUAUAUCUUUUCUCUACUAUAUACAUAGCCUGAUACAAAAGAAAAAUUUUCUGUCACCUCUUUUAAGUUGUUUCCAACGUGAAGUUUUGUCUUCUAUAUCUCACUUUGAGUAAAUGUCUGAUGUUUCAAAAUCAUUAUACAUGGCAGGCAUAGCUUACAACUAUUUCCUUGGCCUUUUGUAAGGUUUUUUAAGAUCUUUUAUAUAUAAGUUGAUUCUUUGUUUAUUUCCUGUGCUUUAUUUAUUUACCUGCAUAUUGUGAGCAAAUCAAGAAGACAAAUCCUGGAAGUCAUGCUGAGGUUUUUACAGCUAGUUCAGAUAGUCGCUUUUAGAGAUUCUUCAUUUCCUAUUAUGCUUCUUUUCAUGGGUUCCUGAAUGGUUGCUUGCCUGUUAUUUGUCUUGGUGGUAUCCAGCUUAAGAGCAAAUACUUAGGUACUUUACUAUCAGCGACUUCUUUUGAUGCUGAUGGUGGAGUGUUUCCACUUGCUUUUGGUGUUGUCGAUAAAGAAAAUGAUGAUAGCUGGAUGUGGUUCUUGUUAGAGUUGCGCAAAGCUCUAAACAUGGGCACUGAGAAGAUACCAAUUGCAGGUAUUUAGUAGUAGAUUUCAAAUAUUUUUCACAUUUGGAAUUUAUGGAAUUGAAGAUAAAAUUUUUGCGCAAACCUAAAGAAGUUGUUUUGAUAACACUUUGCCUUAAGUAAAACAUCUUAAAAAUAAAGGGUUAUGUUAUAACAAACUAGUGAAUGGAGGAAACUAGUAAACCAUUAUCCAAGAUCGAUAACUAGAGAACUUAAGAAGUGAGGAAACUAACGAUGUGAUAAAAAUUCUCAAACAAGUUGAUGAAACUUGUGAAUCAAAUUCGAAUGUUAGGAGAGAUUUUCUAGAAUAAAGGAUUGCACCAUAGAUUAUCUAAACCAAAGUGAUAUGGAAGGAUACAAACCAUAUUUGGGAUGGUUUGACAUAGACUCAUUGAGGAAAACUGUCUUUUAUAAAAUAACCAACCGAACCUUACAAUGGAUGCCCUACCUCAGUAAUUACUUCCUUUUGCAGCCAUUCUUUGUUCAGAAUGUUUGACGAUUUGAUAAUUCUAGCAAAUGGUGGCCUUAAAGUAUAUCAAGGACCAGUAAAGACAGUUUAAGAGUACUUUGCAGGCAUUGGAAUAACUGUAACUAAUCACGUUAAUCCUCCUGAUCAUUUCAUUGAUAUUUUAUAAGGAAUUUAUAAACUCUCGAGCACAGGACUGAGCUAUAGAGAUCUUCCUGUUAGAUGGAUGCUUCAUACGGAUACCCCAUACCACCAGAUAUGCUAGAUUCUUCUGGAUCAAGAGCAUCUUCAGUUGGAGAAAAUUCAGCUGAUGGAGUAAGUCCUGCAGCUGCUACCUCAGAUCAAUCUGGAGACCUGUGGUCGGAGAUCAAAUCCAAUAUUGCACAGAAGAAGGACCGCAUGAGGUUCAACUUUUAGGCAUGGUCGGACUUGUCUCAUCGGAAAACCCGGGUGUAUUGCUUCAAUAUAAGUAUUUCCUUGGAAGUUGGCUACAUCCUAAUUAUUUUUCAAGAUGUGUGUGUGUGACCAACUGAGAAGCUUCUAUGGACGCUUAGGGGGGGGAGUAUUCAUGUGACAGUGUUAGUUGAUUACAAAUGUUUUUUAGUUUCAUUUGUUUUGAUGGUUGACAUCUAUGAUACUUCACAUUCCCAGAGUCGGGAAGCAGCGAUUGUGAGAAGCCAGGAUACAAGCAGUUGAUUUCUGAUUCUAUUACUUGUUGGACUCUGUUUGAGAACACUUGCUUAAGUGAGUGAUGAAACAUUUGGAUUUAUGGGGUACCUUUACAACGUCAUUGCAGUUUAUCUUCCCACCCAGAUUGCGGCUUUGAGGUUAUUUUCUCUAGAUAAAUUACACUACUGGAGAGAGAGUGCAUCUGGCAUGAGCCGUUUGGCAUACUUUCUGGCUAAGGAUACAUUGAUCAUAUUAAUAUUAUUGUAAAGGCUGCAAAUUAUCUCUGUGUUCUACUUCUUCAACAAUCCAAGAUCUUCAAUUUUCGAUAAUUAUGUCGUCUUGCUUUGUGUCGUAUAUUGUGUUACUGGGAUAGCAUAUGCACUUGCCAUCUACUUUGAACCUAGUCAAGCUCAACUGGUGUGUACUCGGUAUUUUGUUUUGUGAUGUGUAUAUAUUGUGUUAUAAUUUAUUAUGUAUGUAAAUAAAAAUUUACGUUAA